Molecule: non-coding RNA, 45 nt
Filed under: Trichobilharzia regenti
Lineage: Eukaryota; Metazoa; Platyhelminthes; Trematoda; Strigeidida; Schistosomatidae
Source: RNAcentral
AUCCAGAUGACGAGUCCCAAACAGGACGAAAUGCACAUCCUCGUU